This 231-nucleotide ribosomal RNA is filed under the name uncultured bacterium. RNAcentral describes it as "partial 16S ribosomal RNA". It matches the Rfam family "Bacterial small subunit ribosomal RNA", at positions 102 to 334 of the family's 1533-position model. The record is from RNAcentral.
ACGGGUGAGUAACACGUAUCCAACCUGCCGUCUACUCUUGGACAGCCUUCUGAAGGAAGAUUAAUACAAGAUGGCAUCAUGAGUCCACAUGUUCACAUGAUUAAAGGUAUUCCGGUAGACGAUGGGGAUGCGUUCCAUUAGAUAGUAGGCGGGGUAACGGCCCACCUAGUCUUCGAUGGAUAGGGGUUCUGAGAGGAAGGUCCCCCACAUUGGGACUGAGACACGGUCCAA